GUUGAAGAUAUCAAAAGAGUUUUUUGUGGCUGAGUUGUUGAUUUGAUUUUUCUUAGAAGUCAUCCUGGCUGUUAUGUCCUCUCUCCCUGCUUUCCAGUCAGGUAAUAAUUGCAUUCCACCUUCUACACAGGGUUUCCAUUUCAUGUCAAAAUGGUGCACAUUAGAAUAAAAACCCUGGGAGAAGGGAGAAAGAUGUAAGCUACAAACACUGAAGGUGAUGCUGUCACAGAGUUGGGCCCAAUAUCCACUUCAGCCCUAACCUAAAACCACCAAGAGUUAAAACUUGGGAAGAGUCAGGCCAUCAACACCAAAGGGAGCUGUGCUUUCCAGGAGUGCCUACACCACUCAAAGCCAGGACUUUGCUUCAAAUCUCAUCCCUCACUUCUGGGAUAAAAAGGGGGCUGCUCCAAGGCCACGGAUCAAGGACUGAGCAAGUCCAGGUCACAGUUUUGAAUGUUCCUGCUCAGGACAUGCUAAAGAUUCCAGUUGUCCCUGGACUCACUAAGAAUGUAAGAGGGAAACACAGUGAUGAGGGGAUAUAAACCCAAGGGCCAGGACAUAAAGCAGAGGAUAUGAUAUGUAUGUACUCAAAAUGGUUUAUGUAUGUUUGCUUUGAUCUUUAAAUGUAAACCUAAUGCUUAUCACAA
This 647-nucleotide long non-coding RNA is filed under the name Parus major (Great Tit). RNAcentral's name for it is "lncRNA (ENSPMJG00000007418.1)". Lineage: Eukaryota; Metazoa; Chordata; Aves; Passeriformes; Paridae. The record is from RNAcentral.